UACGUGAGUGGCGAGCGUUAUCCGGAAUUACUGGGCGUAAAGAGCGCGUAGGCGACUGUGAAAGUCAGGGGUGAAAAGUCAGGGCUUAACCUUGGCCUUGCCUUUGAAACUUCACGGAUAGAGUACAGGAUAGGAGGGUGGAACUACAAGUGUAGCGGUGGAAUGCGUAGAUAUUUGUAGGAAUGCCGAUGACGAAGGUAGCUCUCUGGACUGAUACUGACGCUGAGGUGCGAAAGCUAGGGGAG
This 245-nucleotide ribosomal RNA is filed under the name uncultured bacterium. RNAcentral describes it as "partial 16S ribosomal RNA". It matches the Rfam family "Bacterial small subunit ribosomal RNA", at positions 524 to 768 of the family's 1533-position model. The record is from RNAcentral.